UUGCUAUCUGCGAUAUGGAAGAUUCGAACCUGCCGCAGGUCCGGGUCUCACGUAGUGAGACAACGGAGCCGCUUGCGGCGACGGCCCGAAGGGCGAGCGAAGCGAGUCAUCCUGCACGACCCACCA
RNAcentral lists this small RNA (126 nucleotides) under Salmonella enterica subsp. enterica serovar Berta. RNAcentral's name for it is "RtT RNA". It matches the Rfam family "RtT RNA". Rfam says of the family: This family represents a bacterial cis-regulatory element known as RtT RNA. The exact function of RtT is unknown although it is thought that it may be involved in changing the cellular response in relation to amino acid starvation. RNAcentral also lists the same sequence under 7 other names. The record is from RNAcentral. Lineage: Bacteria; Pseudomonadati; Pseudomonadota; Gammaproteobacteria; Enterobacterales; Enterobacteriaceae.